CAGUAGCCGCGGUAAUACGUAGGGUGCAAGCGUUGUCCGGAAUUAUUGGGCGUAAAGGGCUCGCAGGCGGUUUCUUAAGUCUGAUGUGAAAGCCCCCGGCUCAACCGGGGAGGGUCAUUGGAAACUGGGAAACUUGAGUGCAGAAGAGGAGAGUGGAAUUCCACGUGUAGCGGUGAAAUGCGUAGAGAUGUGGAGGAACACCAGUGGCGAAGGCGACUCUCUGGUCUGUAACUGACGCUGAGGAGCGAAAGCGUGGGGAGCGAACAGGAUUAGAUACCCCUGUAGUCCCUGUCUCUUAUAC
This 301-nucleotide ribosomal RNA is filed under the name uncultured bacterium. RNAcentral describes it as "partial 16S ribosomal RNA". It matches the Rfam family "Bacterial small subunit ribosomal RNA", at positions 509 to 807 of the family's 1533-position model. The record is from RNAcentral.